UCUCCGUAGGUGAACCUGCGGAGGGAUCAUUACAGAGUUCGUGCCCUCGCGGGUCGAUCUCCCACCCUGUGUUAUUGCUACCUUUGUUGCUCUGGCGGGCCGCCCUCGGCUCCCGCCCCCGGCUGGUACGCGCCCGCCAGAGGAACCCACACCCUGAACGUCAGUGUCGUCUGCGUACUAUACUAUAGUUAAAACUUUCAACAACGGAUCUCUUGGCUCUC
Molecule: unclassified non-coding RNA, 221 nt
Filed under: plant metagenome
Description: partial contains small subunit ribosomal RNA, internal transcribed spacer 1, and 5.8S ribosomal RNA
Source: RNAcentral